RNAcentral lists this ribosomal RNA (856 nucleotides) under uncultured Gammaproteobacteria bacterium. RNAcentral describes it as "bacterial SSU rRNA". It matches the Rfam family "Bacterial small subunit ribosomal RNA", at positions 58 to 900 of the family's 1533-position model. Lineage: Bacteria; Pseudomonadati; Pseudomonadota; Gammaproteobacteria. The record is from RNAcentral.
CAAGUCGAACGGCAGCACAGUGUGUAGCAAUACAUAUGGGUGGCGAGUGGCGGACGGGUGAGAAACGCGUAGGAAUUUGCCCUGUAGAACGGGACAACCGGAGGAAACUCCGGCUAAUACCGUAUGAAACUCGAAAGAGGAAAGGCUGGGAGCAAUCCUGGUGCUAUAGGAGAAGCCUGCGUCUGAUUAGCUAGUUGGUAGGGUAAAAGCCUACCAAGGCGAUGAUCGGUAGCUGGUCUGAGAGGAUGAUCAGCCACACUGGGACUGAGACACGGCCCAGACUCCUACGGGAGGCAGCAGUGGGGAAUAUUGGACAAUGGGGGCAACCCUGAUCCAGCAAUGCCGCGUGUGUGAAGAAGGCCUUCGGGUUGUAAAGCACUUUAGGGUGGGAAGAAGGAUAUUUGUUUAAGAGAUAAGUAUUUUGACUGUACCAUCAGAAUAAGCACCGGCUAACUCUGUGCCAGCAGCCGCGGUAAUACAGAGGGUGCAAGCGUUAAUCGGAGUUACUGGGCGUAAAGGGCGCGUAGGUAGUUAUAUAAGAGAGAGGUGAAAUCCCUGGGCUUAACCUAGGAACUGCUUUUCUGACUGUAAGACUAGAGUAUUGUAGAGGGUAGUGGAAUUUCCGGUGUAGCGGUGAAAUGCGUAGAGAUCGGAAGGAACACCAGUGGCGAAGGCGGCUACCUGGACAAAUACUGACACUGAGGCGCGAGAGCGUGGGUAGCAAACAGGAUUAGAUACCCUGGUAGUCCACGCUGUAAACGAUGAGAACUAGAUGUUGGUAGGCAUGACCUAUUAGUAUCGAAGCUAACGCGAUAAGUUUCUCCGCCCUGGGGAGUACGGCCGCAAGGUUUAAAAC